AGGACGAACGCUGGCGGUGUGCUUCACACAUGCAAGUCGAACGAGGUAGCAAUACCUAGUGGCGGACGGGUGAGUAACGCGUGGGAAUCUGCCUUUAGAUGGGGGAUAACGGGCCGAAAGGUCCGCUAAUACCGCAUAGGCCGCAAGGUUAAAGGAGUAAUCCGUCUAAAGAUGAGCCCGCGUCCGAUUAGCUAGUUGGUAGGGUAAAAGCCUACCAAGGCGACGAUCGGUAGCUGGUCUGAGAGGAUGAUCAGCCACAAUGGGACUGAGACACGGCCCAGACUCCUACGGGAGGCAGCAGUGGGGAAUAUUGGACAAUGGCGCAAGCCUGAUCCAGCCAUGCCGCGUGAGUGAUGAAGGCCCGUAGGUUGUAAAGCUCUUUCGUCAGGGACGAUAAUGACGGUACCUGAAGAAGAAGCCCGCUAACUUCGUGCCAGCAGCCGC
Molecule: ribosomal RNA, 444 nt
Filed under: uncultured bacterium
Lineage: Bacteria
Description: SSU rRNA
Rfam family: Bacterial small subunit ribosomal RNA
Source: RNAcentral